AUAAACGCUGGCGGCGUGCUUCAGGCAUGCAAGUCGAACGGUUCUUCCGGUUCGCCGGAAGGAUAGUGGCGGACGGGUGAGUAACACGUAAGCAACCUGCCCAGAAGUGGGGAAUAACCCGCCGAAAGGCGAGCUAAUACCGCAUGUGAUGGUUUUUCCCUGGAGAACCCAUUAAAGGCGAAAGUCGCUUCUGGAGGGGCUUGCGGCCGAUUAGCUAGUUGGUGGGGUAACGGCCUACCAAGGCGACGAUCGGUAGCUGGUCUGAGAGGACGGUCAGCCACACGGGGACUGAGAUACGGCCCCGACUCCUACGGGAGGCAGCAGCUAGGAAUCUUGGGAAUGGGCGAAAGCCUGACCCAGCAACGCCGCGUGGGCGAUGAAGGCCUUCGGGUUGUAAAGCCCUUUUGCAGGGGACGAUGAUGACGGUACCCUGCGAAUAAGCCACGGCUAACUACGU
This 457-nucleotide ribosomal RNA is filed under the name uncultured bacterium. RNAcentral's name for it is "partial 16S ribosomal RNA". It matches the Rfam family "Bacterial small subunit ribosomal RNA", at positions 29 to 506 of the family's 1533-position model. The record is from RNAcentral.